GAGGUGAGUUUUUUUGGGGGAAAUAGAAACCUCUUCAAUAAAUCAAUUAUUGAAUCUAUAUAAAAAUACUUCAUUCCUUACAUAUUACAUUACUUGCUACUGUUUCAAAUUAUGUCAUUUUUUUCAUAGAAUAGUUAACAUUUAGAUAUCAGCUUCAAUUUCUGAUUUCAAUUUCUUUAGAUAUCAGCUUCAAAAAUUUCUUCAUAUACCUGUUUCAAAGUUGAUUGAUUAGAAUACAUAUUAUUUUUACUCUUAAGCGUAUCAACAUGGUAUUCUACUAUUCUUUAUUCAUGAAUCAAGAUAUUUUUGCUACCGAUGCUGCAUUGGUAAAACGAGUUGACAAAUGCUGGAGAAUAAACAACUCCAUAUUCAUACUAAUUUUCUCCAAAGCAAAUAAUAAAUUCCUAAAUGCAAUUAAGAGAACCCUAGCAAAGUUCUCCUCCUUCUCUGGGCUAGAAAUUAAUGCUAUAAAAAGCUCAAUGACAUUAUCCAAGGUCUGUGCUGAAGAUCAAACACUACAAGCCAUUCUUGACUUCCCCAUCAAAGCCCUUCCCCUCACAUACCUAGGCCUACCAAUAACAGGGAAGAAAAAAAUCCUAUAAUCAAUGCUGGAAACUGAUACAACCAAUAGAGAACAUAUUAGCAAAAUGGAGUGGGAAAUGUCUCUCCUAUGGGGGAAGAAUUCAGCUAGUAAUUUGGAUUCUUGCAGGGAAAUACACCUACUGGGCACAAGGCACAACUCUGCCUGAAUCUAUAACAAAAAGGGUAAAGAAACUAGCAUAUAAUUUCAUAUGGAAUGGGAAAAAAGGAACACCUUGGAAACAAAUGAUCCUAUCCAAAGCAGAAGGAGGAUUAGGGGCAAGAAACCUAGACGUCAUAGUACCUGUCAUAAACAUCAAAAUAAUUGCAAACUUUUGGGAAAAAUCAGCCUCAAUACUAGAUACAUGGAUCCAAGGGAGAUACAUAAAGGGAAGGGCCCUUUCAAGCAUCCAGAUAAAAAACACUAUAGACCCCCACUUCUGGAAAUUUGUAAUGGGGGAUAGCCCCAAAGCAGAUGCACUAAUUGAGUGCGGUCCAAAUUAUACAAUCCUGUGGAAAAAUGGAACCCCGAACAAGAAACUAGCAAAAAUAGCUGAGAUAAUUAGGGACAAAAGCCAUAGAGACAAUCUAGCAGAAGGAAUAUGGUCAAACAAACCCACAAAAUUCUCCAUACUCCUCUGGAGAAUAAAAUGGGGACAUAUAAACACCUUCACCAGACUAAAUGGAUGGGGCAUGCUAAACCAAGCCACAUGCCUAUUAUGCAACAUCGAAAAUGAAACGAGAAGUCACUUAUUUUUCAACUGCACUUUGCACUAGAGCCAUUCUAUUACCCUUAAUAGAAAAACUAGACAACAUAUUCUGGAAAAUCAUGAACAUACCAACAUCCACAACCACACACCCAGACAUUAGGCUAGGAGACCUAACUGAGGCAUAACAAAAGCUAACACGUCACUCUCCAAUUUGGGGUUUAUUAUGGAACACGAUUGGAGCCUUAAGUUGACACAUAUGGGCAGAAAGAAACAGAAGAUGGUAGCAACACUUACUCAGACCACUAGAAACAAUACUCAAUGAGGUAAUAAAUGACAUAAGAUUUUCCUUCAAUCCUGAGCUGCUGUCACCCAUUGGGGCAUAGCACGAUACAAAUAUGGGAGACCAACCUCCGGAGGCAGAUAACCUAGUACCCAACACUAGGUAGUAUGGCUGUGUGGAAAGUGUCAAAUGAGUCUUGUUCUCUUUACCAUAUUCUAUUUUCUUAUCCCCAAUGUAAUAAGGGCAAUGUCCUUCAUUAUAAAUAUUUAACUGCUUCAAAAAUAAAAACUCCAUAUUUGCAGACUGGGUAAAAAUUAGAUAGAUUAGGAGUAGGGAUGUAGAAGACAUUAUCGGUAGACCAAAAUAGACUCACAUAUGUGGAAAACAACACUGACAAAUAAGGAAACCAUAAAAUUAUGUAUACAAUGUUUAAGCAAUCAUAGAACAACACAUUUAUCCCCACUUCCCCACUCUGGAAUCCUAAGGCCUUAGGGUAUCAGUCAAACCUUAAACUUAGGGGUAUAUUCUAGAAUGCUGCCCAAAUUCUCCAUCGCUACUAUGGAGAAUUAAAGUCAAAAGCCUUAAUACUCUAACUACAUUGCAAGGGUGGGGCAUCAAUUUAUUGGCAACCUGCCCUCUGUGGAGUAGAGGAGGAAUCUAUUUAACAUCUUUUUUUCAACUGUCACUACACUAGACAUCUACUACUAGAGUGUUGAGGUUUUAUGUAAUUGGGAGUUACAAGUAUGGAGACUGUUUUAAUUGGUGUUUAAUUGGCCAAUUAAGAGGUCGGUUACAAGGCCAAUUAAUGAGUCAUUAUUUUGGGAAUGACCCAAAAUAAUCCCUAUAAAUAGCUACUCUUAUAUUAAACUUGUGUGUAAGUUGUAAUAGGGCUUAGACACCAUCAUUCUAGUGCACUAUCGUGGAUGUACACCAUCAUUGGGUGGAACCAUGUAAAAAUUCUCUUGUGACCUUUCAUUUUCCCUACUCUUUCUUUUUCUGUUGAUUACUCUUAUUCUCAACAGAAUCUCAACCUCAUUUUCGCAAGAAGAUCAUUCUGAUCUUUUAGGAAGCGCUUAACAGAUUUUACAUCUGUCAAGGAGUGAUCAUCAGAUAUAUCAUAUCAUAUAUCAGAUCACUGUCAUAGAGACCACUAGCAGAGGAUAUAAUGGAAACAAUAGAAAAAAUCACACAUAAAGCCAGUUGUUGGGGUACAUACCAAAGUUUUUCAGACGGCCAUGCGGUCAUGCGAUGGCCCUGACCGCAUGGCCGCAUAAUAUUCAUUGGGAAUUUUACAAUUAUUAGUAAUAUGAUAUGAUAUCAUAUAUAUCAUAUCAUAUAUAUUAUAUCAUUAAUAACAAUAUAUACCCUGCAUUUAUAUAUUCACAAUAAACAUAGAAGUUUAUAGAAAAUAUAGAAGUUUUCCCUGUAUUUAUAGAAAAUAUAGAAGUUUUCCCUGUAUUUAUAGAAAAUAUAGAAGUUUUCCCUGUAUUUAUAGAAAAUAUAGAAGUUUUCCCUGUAUUUAUAGAAAAUAUAGAAGUUUUCCCUGUAUUUAUAGAAAAUAUACAAGUUUUUCAGAAAAUUUAUAAUAUAUACCCUAAGUUUAUGAAAUAUAUAGUAAAUAUACAAGUUUUCCAGAAAAUUUACAAUAUAUACCCUAAGUUUAUAAUAUAUAUAUAUACUAUUUAUUAAUAUUUAUAAUAAAUUUAUUAUAUAAUAUAUAGAUCAGGUGGGAAAGAAGGCAUCGAGAUUUCUAACCUGAUUUACAGAAGCUACUCCGCUGAAAGAAGAACAAGAAGGGGGCGGAGCUAGGGUUUGCGAGCGUCUUUGCAGAUGUGGAGGAAUAAGGUGUUUUAUUUUAUUUUAAUCGGGUAAAUGGGUUAGGCAGAUCCGCCUAACCCGUCCAGCGCAUGAAGGCAAACGCCUACAUGCGCUGGACCGCAUGGUCGCAUAUGCGACGCCUAGGCGUCGCAUGAAAACGCAUGGUACACACUGGUUAGCUCUUGGGUCUCUAUCCUGACACAUAUGGUGUGAAAGAAAUAAAAGAUUAAAACAACACACACUAAGACCACUAAAAGUUAUCAGCAGAGAAAUAUUGAGGGAUGUGAGCAUUGUCUAUGGUGCCACACCUUAUAAAAAGAGCAAUCUGUCUCAGAUUGAAAUUUGAAACAAAUGUUAUAUUUCCACGCAAGGUUGUGCCUCUGCGCGAUGCGUCACGAUCUUGAGCAUUUGAGCUAGUGUCAUUUUCGUAAAUAUUUAAAAAAUAAGGGAAAUUCAAAUACUUUUUAUAUAUCAAUUCCAAAAAUAAUCAAAAUACUUAGAAUAGUUUAGAAAACAUAGAAUUAACAUAAUCAACUAUCAAAUACAAAGCAUUUAUAAGGUUCAAAACGACUAUGAAUAUACGAUCUAUGGGUUAUUGCGUUUCCGCCAAGCUUUUACAUGCGGCCAGGCGUUCAUGCGAUGGAUCUGGUCGCAUGAACGCCUAGGGCGCCUAGGCGUUACAUAAAUGCGUUCGCCGGAGCUUGCGGGAAACGCGUUCGACGUUCACCAGAGGUGGCUGGAGGUGGUCGCCGUCUGUCCCAACCGGUCGCCGGAGGUGGAGGAAAUGACCUGAAAACGAGGUGGGAGGGUGGCUGGAAAUUUGGGAGAAAGGGGAAGAAAAUGGGAGAAAAAUGAGGGGGUUAGGGUUUUAAAGCCUUAUUCCCUCAUUUUUAUAAUAAUUAAUGAGUAAAUGGUUUAGGCAGAUCCAAUCGGAUCCGCCUAACCCGCCUAGCGCAUGAAGGUAUCGCCUAAGUGCGCCUAGGCGAUCUCAUGAAAAACCUUGGUUUCCGCUCUAACCGUUUAUAGAACAUAGGAGUUUUGCCUUUAUCUACUUGAGCUCCAACUCGAGCUCGAGAUUGAGGUUGGGGUUCAAGUGUCGGUUUAUGUUCUAAUGCUUCACCCUUAUCUUCACUUUCUUCAAGUUCUCGAACCUCAUUACGAACUUGACUAGUAAAUGGUCUAGCUUGACCACUUCUAAUUGAUGGCCCUGGGUGCUCAGUUGCUCAAGCUGCCGUCUCCACGUCGACCCAAGUGAGGCCUUUUUAAGUAUACACCCACUCAUUGCAUGCUCCAUCAAUACCUGUGACUCAUUCACUCAUCAAGUUGAACUCGCCAACGUGGCUGGCAUCAUACUUCUUGGAGCCGCUUUCAACCAGUAACAUGUUCGUUUUGAACCUCUCUGACAACUUCAUAUUGUAGUUGACGUAGACGAGGUUAUCUAGCUGAGUGACGCUUAAUCGAUUCCUAGCCUUUGUGUGGAAUUGUAAAUUACAUUUGCUUUUAGACAGUCAAAUGACAUAAAAUAAAUAAUCGAACAUGUAAAGAACUUACAUGUCAGAAAGUAUUCCAAUUCCUUUCACAGCUUCAAGCUGAGCAAUAUAAACUCAAGAUUCUUGUUGCGAGUUUCGCCAAAUCCACAGUUAUUGUGCCAAAUAUUUCCCACAACUGUAGUGGAUGUGUACCUUCAACCAUUCCAAAUAUUGUAUCUGCUCCAAAACGUCCUGGCCUCUUCUUGUACAAGCACAUGUCUGAUAAGAUUGUGAGAUUGUCAUCUUGACUGGUAAAUCAUUAAUAUUCAUUCGGUCAACGCAUUCAGAGAAUGCUAUCUCAUACUUAAUACACUCAUCCCUUGUUUCAAGAUUAUUGUAGUUGAAAAAAAUGGAAUUAAACAAUGACUCAACUCAUAAAUUCAUUUAUGAAAUAGAAAUAAACAAUACCUUUUCAUCUUGUAGUAGAAACCGGAUUCAAGAAGAAUGCAACUUUUAUUAGAGGAGCCUUAUAAUUGGACCAAUCAAAUUUCCUCAUAUUAUCCUAGACACUUUUGAGACUUUGAAGGGUGAGGAGGAAAGCCGUCAAACAAGAAGAACUACCCAAGGUCAAGCUUCAACAUCUCAAGCUCCUUAAGAAGAAGAAAUACUCGAUUCUUUGUUUCCUGAUGAUGUCGUGAAGACUGAAGAAGAGUUUGGUCCUUCUCCAAACCUAAAGGACCAAUCAUCUUAAUCACGCCAAGUCCAUUAUCUUCUUUGUUGUAGUCGAUAAAGUCGAGCAUGUACCAUUGAAUGCCAUCUUUCUCUUAAUGAGAUUUGUCGGUAGUAGCUCGAUCGUUGGUUUCUUCGCAACGAUUUUGUUUUGCAAACCUUCAAGAUCUCGUCUCUAAUCUUCAUUGGGGCUUUCAGGCACACUCGUACUAAUUUUUCACCAUUCGGAUUCACUCGGGUGAUGUGAACCUUGACAUGGUGGAUUCCGUCGGUAGAAACGAAUCCACAAAGAAGGCACUGAAACUGGUUGUGCAAUUUGCCUUGUCGUUUUUCUGCAUAUGCGGCAUACUUCCAAGUAGGGUCGUCGGGAGGGUCGCCGACGGUUGGGGCCAAGGAGGUGGCCGGAUGGAGGAGUAUUGGGGAUGAAAAUCAGACUUGCAAGUCCUUGAUUUAAUUAAUUAAAUCAGAGCCGGAUCCGGGUUGGAUCCAAGAGGCGCACAUGCGCAUAAGCGUGCACAUCCGAGAUUAUGAUUAUUAGGGCACAACUUCUAAGAUAACCACCUGAUCCUUCACAAAGGAUCUCAUCCAUUGAUGACUGUUUAUGUGUAUUAUAUAAUUAUCACAUGAGCUCAUUAAUGACUGCUGUAAUUAAACUAAUUAAACAGUCUAAAACAGUCUACACUAUUAUAAAAUGAGUAUCCCUUAUUUCUCUAACAUAUUUUUAGUCCAUGUAGUUGUCCAAAUCUUAACACUGUAAAAUUAGCUAGUUAGUUUGUUGUAAUUUCCUCAAAGAUUUUAAACUUCCGUAUAAUAAUUGCAUUGAGCCAUUCUGCUUUGUUAUUAGGCCUUUUGUAAUAGGCAGUGUAUUUUGAUAAAGUUGCAUAGCUUGGGUAAAAACCAUAAUUUUAGAUAUAUUCGUAUAUAUCAAAUAUCAUAAUAUACAACUAUUAGUGUAUAAAAAUAUAAAAUAUGCAUCAAUAUCUUUUCUCUUUUGUUUGGUACUCUUUUUUUUUACUUUCCGUAUGAUUCAGAUGGUUACAUGAUUACAUCUACUAAAAUAUAUUUUGUAAUUGCAUUUUGGCUAUUUUCCAGACUCAUAAGGAUAUCUCCUUUUGCAAAUCGCUUGUCGGCCGAUUCAUAUCCUUCAGUUCAACGUCUUAGAUGUUUGGCAAAUUAUGAGGCAAUGCGAUUUUCAGAUCCUAUAGCAACUUUCUCUAAGAAUUUGGUUAAUCGAAUGAAAGAAACUAGUAUUAAAAGCAAUGGUAAUUAUAUUGCUGUGCAUCUUCGAUUUGAAGAGGUUAGUUUCUUUGUGACUUGCUUUUGAAUGUUCUUCCAAAUUCCAAUAAAGCAUUGAUGAUAUUUUAUAUUUACCUAUUUCCUUUGUUGAAUUUUAGGAUAUGGUUGCCUUCUCAUGCUGUGUAUAUGAUGGUGGGGAUCAAGAGAAACUUGUCUUGAGUGCAGCCAGAGAAAGAGGCUGGAGAGGAAAAUUCACUAAACCUGGUCGUGUUAUACGACCUGGAAUGAUCAGGAUCAAUGGAAAGUGUCCACUUACACCCUUAGAGGUAUACAUUUUAUAUUGGUAUAGCAUUUAUUUCACUAGUGGAGCAUUGAGUGUCAUAGAAUUUUAUUGUUUUCUAGUUAUUGCCAUUUAGGUUGGCUUGAUGCUUAGAGGCAUGGGUUUCAAUAACAACACAUCAAUCUACUUAGCAUCUGGAAAGAUUUACAAUUCAGAGAAAACAAUGAUCCCUCUCCGGGAAAUGUUUCCUCUUGUACAAACUAAGCAUACAUUAGCAUCAGAAGAGGAGCUUGCUCCAUUCAAGGUAUAUCUCCUAUUCUCCUCAUCUAUUCAUUCUCAAUUCUCUCAUUUUUGUAGUUUUUGCCUGAGUCUAAGUUGAAAUUAUGUUUCUUCCAGAACUAUUCAUCUAGGAUGGCUGCUAUAGACUACACUGUAUGCCUUCACAGUGAAGUUUUUGUAACAACACAAGGUGGAAAUUUUCCUCAUUUUGUGAUUGGUCAUAGGAGGUAUUUGUAUGAUGGACAUUCAAAAACUAUUAAGCCAGAUAAAAGGAAGCUAGCAAUAUUGUUUGAUAAUCAAAAGAUUGGGUAAUUUUCUUUCUUAUGUUCGACCUGUAAUUCAGAGCAUUCAUCAAUAUAUUCUUAUUUUCAAACUUUUUGCAGAUGGAAAUCCUUCAAGCGGCAACUACUAAACAUGCGGGCUCAUAGUGAUUCUAAAGGUGUCGAGGUUAAACGACCAAAUGAUUAUUUGUACACAUAUCCAUGCCCAGACUGUAUGUGUCCCUUAAACAAAACUGAAAUUUAAAGAAGAAUGUCAACCGGCAAGGUGAUUUUUUUGGAGAAAAUCGAGUCCGAGUUACACUUCUAACUUGCUACAAUCUUCUCGGAUUUCUCAAAUGUUUUUAAAUGCCAUAGAAUUCUUUUGUUGCUUGGAUGGAUGGAGGGGAGUGUUGUUUUUCUAAGCUUGUGCACUCCUGAGGAGAAUGAAGAAAAGGUGUCUUGUUAUGCAUCCUCUAAAGUGCAAAUAUCAUCCUCUAAAGCACAAAUAUUUGAUUACUGUAAGAUUUGAACUUCCCACUUCUUGUGUAUUCUUUCCAUUUUUUCCAAUACCCUAAGUUUUGAUAGAUUUUUUUAAAGGUUUGGUGUUGUAGUCUUGUAGUUAGAGAUAUACCCACCGUCAUUGUAAAGAUUGUUGAUAAAGGAAUCGUCAGGGUGUUUAAUACAUUCAUUUCUUUUUGGCUUUAUUUACUUAUCUUUUUAAACAUUUAUGAUUACUGCUAGAUUGAAGUUAUGUACCUUUUGAUGCAUGGGUGUGAUUUGUCUCGACCACCAGUUGCGGAUCAUUGAUUGAGAUUUGAGAAAACAAAUUACCUUCAGGUUGGGUUUUAUGAGUUUUUUUUUUCAAAAUCGAUGGAACCAAAGAUUACCUGAAUUCCAGAAAACUCAAUGGUGAAUGAUGUUCAGAAGAAGAAAAAUCUACCGAAAUGAAAAGUUUAUCGUUUUUCCUUCCCUGGUUCAAGGAGCACCAUAAAGAAGAUUGUUUUCUUGCAAUUUCUAUCUCUGCGGCGAGCGUGAGCUCGCAUAUACAAUGUAGGUCAUGUCUCUUACGAUUUCCUGUUAUUCUUAUGUAGGGUGUGAUCUAUGAGCACCCACGAUGAGGAUCGCCAUUUCCAAAAUGGCAUAAGAUAUAAAU
Molecule: long non-coding RNA, 8793 nt
Filed under: Zostera marina
Lineage: Eukaryota; Viridiplantae; Streptophyta; Magnoliopsida; Alismatales; Zosteraceae
Description: long non-coding RNA (ZMAR_LNC000810)
Source: RNAcentral